Molecule: non-coding RNA, 221 nt
Organism: Pelobates cultripes (western spadefoot toad)
Lineage: Eukaryota; Metazoa; Chordata; Amphibia; Anura; Pelobatidae
Source: the annotation of a GenBank genome assembly
AAAUAACCUCUCAUUUUCCUUAUUAUUACAAUGUGGAAUGGUGAUUUUACAAGAGACUUAUUAUUCAGACUGCGUGAAACAUUGAUUCAUUUUAUUCCAACCAUUUACAAGCCUACAAGGAUCACAGUAUCAGAGAGACCCCACAAUUUUUCUUCUGGCAAUGAUGCAUUAGUGAAUUUUUCAUUUCUUCAAACACUUCCUGGUCUUUCGUAUGAUGAAGG